Molecule: ribosomal RNA, 403 nt
Filed under: uncultured bacterium
Lineage: Bacteria
Description: bacterial SSU rRNA
Rfam family: Bacterial small subunit ribosomal RNA
Source: RNAcentral
UAGGGAAUAUUAGAAAUGGACGAAUGUCUGAUCUAGCAACACCGCGUGUGCGAAGAAGGCCUUCGGGUCGUAAAGCACUUUUUGGAAGGAAUAGGAAGGAAUGUACUUCCAGAAUAAGUCUCGGCUAACUACGUGCCAGCAGCCGCGGUAACACGUAGGAGGCAAACGUUAUCCGGAUUUACUGGGCGUAAAGCGCGUGUAGGUGGUUCUGUAAGUAGGGCGUGAAAGCUCCCGGCUCAACUGGGAGAUGCCGUUCUAAACUGCAGAGCUAGAGGAUGGUAGAGGGAGGUGGAAUUCCAGGUGUAGCGGUGGAAUGCGCAGAUAUCUGGAGGAACACCAGUGGCGAAGGCGGCCUCUUGGACCAUUCCUGACACUCAGACGCGAAAGCUAGGGUAGCAAACGG